RNAcentral lists this ribosomal RNA (523 nucleotides) under Klebsiella pneumoniae. RNAcentral's name for it is "partial 23S ribosomal RNA". It matches the Rfam family "Bacterial large subunit ribosomal RNA", at positions 1000 to 1527 of the family's 2925-position model. Lineage: Bacteria; Pseudomonadati; Pseudomonadota; Gammaproteobacteria; Enterobacterales; Enterobacteriaceae. The record is from RNAcentral.
AACGUCCGUCGUGAAGAGGGAAACAACCCAGACCGCCAGCUAAGGUCCCAAAGUCAUGGUUAAGUGGGAAACGAUGUGGGAAGGCACAGACAGCCAGGAUGUUGGCUUAGAAGCAGCCAUCAUUUAAAGAAAGCGUAAUAGCUCACUGGUCGAGUCGGCCUGCGCGGAAGAUGUAACGGGGCUAAACCAUGCACCGAAGCUGCGGCAGCGACACUAUGUGUUGUUGGGUAGGGGAGCGUUCUGUAAGCCUGCGAAGGUGACCUGUGAGGGUUGCUGGAGGUAUCAGAAGUGCGAAUGCUGACAUAAGUAACGAUAAAGCGGGUGAAAAGCCCGCUCGCCGGAAGACCAAGGGUUCCUGUCCAACGUUAAUCGGGGCAGGGUGAGUCGACCCCUAAGGCGAGGCCGAAAGGCGUAGUCGAUGGGAAACAGGUUAAUAUUCCUGUACUUGGUGUUACUGCGAAGGGGGGACGGAGAAGGCUAUGUUAGCCGGGCGACGGUUGUCCCGGUUUAAGCAUGUAGGCUG